This 424-nucleotide ribosomal RNA is filed under the name uncultured bacterium. RNAcentral's name for it is "partial 16S ribosomal RNA". It matches the Rfam family "Bacterial small subunit ribosomal RNA", at positions 360 to 776 of the family's 1533-position model. The record is from RNAcentral.
AAUAUUGGACAAUGGGCGAAAGCCUGAUCCAGCCAUGCCGCGUGUGUGAAGAAGGUCUCCGGAUUGUAAAGCGCUUUAAGCUGGGAGGAAGGGUUGUAGGUUAUUACCUUGCUGUUUGGACGUUACCGCCAGAACAAGCCCCGGCUAACUUCGUGCCAGCAGCCGCUGUAAUACGAAGGGUGCAAGCGUUAAGCGGAAUUAUUGGGCGUAACGCGCGCGUAGGUGGUUCGUUAAGUUGGAAGUGAAAGCCCCGGGCUCAACCAGGGAACUGCAUCCAUAACUGCUGGGCUAGAGUACGGUAGAGGGUAGUGGAAUUUCCUGUGUAGCGGUGAAAUGCGUAGAUAUAGGAAGGAACACCAGUGGCGAAGGCGACUACCUGGACUGAUACUGACACUGAGGUGCGAGAGCGUGGGGAGCAAACAGG